GUCUAUGGCCAUGCCACCCUGAACAAGCCCGAUGUCUGAUCUCAGAAGCUAAGCGGGGUCGGGCCUGGUUAGUACUUGGAUGGGAGACCACCUAGGAAGACCAGGUGCUAUGGGCA
RNAcentral lists this ribosomal RNA (116 nucleotides) under Pteropus alecto (black flying fox). The record is from RNAcentral. Lineage: Eukaryota; Metazoa; Chordata; Mammalia; Chiroptera; Pteropodidae.